RNAcentral lists this ribosomal RNA (425 nucleotides) under uncultured bacterium. Its description in RNAcentral is "partial 16S ribosomal RNA". It matches the Rfam family "Bacterial small subunit ribosomal RNA", at positions 354 to 796 of the family's 1533-position model. The record is from RNAcentral.
GUGGGGAAUCUUGCGCAAUGGGCGAAAGCCUGACGCAGCCAUGCCGCGUGAAUGAUGAAGGUCUUAGGAUUGUAAAAUUCUUUCACCGGGGACGAUAAUGACGGUACCCGGAGAAGAAGCUCCGGCUAACUUCGUGCCAGCAGCCGCGGUAAUACGAAGGGGGCUAGCGUUGCUCGGAUUUACUGGGCGUAAAGGGCGCGUAGGCGGACAGCUUAGUCAGAGGUGAAAGCCCAGGGCUCAACCUUGGAAUUGCCUUUGAUACUGGCUGUCUUGAGUUUGGGAGAGGUGAGUGGAACUCCGAGUGUAGAGGUGAAAUUCGUAGAUAUUCGGAAGAACACCAGUGGCGAAGGCGACUCACUGGCCCAAUACUGACGCUGAGGCGCGAAAGCGUGGGGAGCAAACAGGAUUAGAUACCCCUGUAGUCC